GCCACGCCCGCUCAGAAACUACAAAGGAAGUUGACGGGGGCCCGCACAAGCGGUGGAGUAUGUGGUUUAAUUCGAUGCAACGCGAAGAACCUUACCUGGUCUUGACAUCCCGGAGACCCUUAGGAAACUAGGGGUGCUUCCAUCUGGAAGAAUCUGGAGACAGGUGCUGCAUGGCUGUCGUCAGCUCGUGUCGUGAGAUGUUGGGUUAAGUCCCGCAACGAGCGCAACCCUUGCCUUUAGUUGCCAGCAGUUCGGCUGGGCACUCUAAAGGGACUGCCGGUGUUAAACCGGAGGAAGGUGGGGAUGACGUCAAGUCCUCAUGGCCUUUAUGACCAGGGCUACACACGUACUACAAUGGCCGAUACAAAGGGCAGCGACACUGCGAGGUGAAGCCAAUCCCGUAAAAUCGGUCUCAGUCCGGAUUGGAGUCUGCAACUCGACUGCGUGAAGUCGGAAUCGCUAGUAAUCGUGAAUCAGAAUGUCACGGUGAAUACGUUCCCGGGCCUU
RNAcentral lists this ribosomal RNA (507 nucleotides) under uncultured Desulfobulbus sp. Its description in RNAcentral is "bacterial SSU rRNA". It matches the Rfam family "Bacterial small subunit ribosomal RNA", at positions 903 to 1382 of the family's 1533-position model. Lineage: Bacteria; Pseudomonadati; Thermodesulfobacteriota; Desulfobulbia; Desulfobulbales; Desulfobulbaceae. The record is from RNAcentral.